RNAcentral lists this ribosomal RNA (541 nucleotides) under Streptomyces antimycoticus subsp. mordarskii. RNAcentral's name for it is "bacterial SSU rRNA". It matches the Rfam family "Bacterial small subunit ribosomal RNA", at positions 97 to 651 of the family's 1533-position model. Lineage: Bacteria; Bacillati; Actinomycetota; Actinomycetes; Kitasatosporales; Streptomycetaceae. The record is from RNAcentral.
GGCGAACGGGUGAGUAACACGUGGGCAAUCUGCCCUGCACUCUGGGACAAGCCCUGGAAACGGGGUCUAAUACCGGAUAUGACACGCUCCCGCAUGGGAUGCGUGUGGAAAGCUCCGGCGGUGCAGGAUGAGCCCGCGGCCUAUCAGCUUGUUGGUGGGGUGAUGGCCUACCAAGGCGACGACGGGUAGCCGGCCUGAGAGGGCGACCGGCCACACUGGGACUGAGACACGGCCCAGACUCCUACGGGAGGCAGCAGUGGGGAAUAUUGCACAAUGGGCGAAAGCCUGAUGCAGCGACGCCGCGUGAGGGAUGACGGCCUUCGGGUUGUAAACCUCUUUCAGCAGGGAAGAAGCGAGAGUGACGGUACCUGCAGAAGAAGCGCCGGCUAACUACGUGCCAGCAGCCGCGGUAAUACGUAGGGCGCAAGCGUUGUCCGGAAUUAUUGGGCGUAAAGAGCUCGUAGGCGGCUUGUCGCGUCGGAUGUGAAAGCCCGGGGCUUAACCCCGGGUCUGCAUUCGAUACGGGCAGGCUAGAGUUCGG